CCCUGCAAUGCCCUUCUCUUCAAUGAUAGAUUAAUGCAUUGCCAAUCAUCCUGAACUGGAGGCUGGGAGACCAGAACACUGUUGCAGGGUCUUCCUUUGCUACCUCAUUAGCAGGGCAUAGGUUGGCCUUGGGCAAGGUGCACAGCUAGCAGUCUACCUUGUGCAAGAGACCAGCCGGAUAGCUGCAGAGGGACCUGAACUCCUUCCUGUGGACUAUUCGGCGCCAUCCUCCAGCCUACUUGUUUGGCACCAUCCACGUUCCCUAUACCCGAGUCUGGGACUUCAUCCCUGACAAUUCCAAAGCAGCCUUCCAGGCCAGCACUCGUGUCUACUUCGAGCUGGAUCUGACAGAUCCCUACACCAUCUCAGCCCUGGCCAGUUGCCAGCUGCUGCCCCACGGGGAGAACCUGCAGGACGUGCUGCCAAGGGAGCUCUACUGGCGCCUGAAGCGCCACCUGGACUAUGUGAAGCUGAUGAUGCCC
Molecule: long non-coding RNA, 482 nt
Filed under: Rattus norvegicus (Norway rat)
Lineage: Eukaryota; Metazoa; Chordata; Mammalia; Rodentia; Muridae
Description: long non-coding RNA NONRATT022501
Source: RNAcentral